This 106-nucleotide small nuclear RNA is filed under the name Vulpes vulpes (red fox). The record is from RNAcentral. Lineage: Eukaryota; Metazoa; Chordata; Mammalia; Carnivora; Canidae.
GUAUUUGUUUUGACAGCACAUACAUUAAAACUGGAAUAAUACAGAGAAGAGUGCUAGGGCUUCUAUGCAAGAAUGACAUGCAAAUUUGCCAGGGUUCCAUACCAAA